GAUUUAGUAUAAAUUUCUGUUUUGAAAGCAGGCGAAGAGAUUUGAUUUCUCCUAAGUUU
Molecule: transfer RNA, 59 nt
Filed under: Dugesia ryukyuensis
Lineage: Eukaryota; Metazoa; Platyhelminthes; Tricladida; Dugesiidae
Description: tRNA-Ser
Source: RNAcentral